UACGUAGGUGGCAAGCGUUGUCCGGAUUUAUUGGGUUUAAAGGGUGCGUAGGCGGCUUUGUAAGUCAGUGGUGAAAUAUGGCAGCUCAACUGUCAAGGUGCCAUUGAUACUGCGGAGCUUGAGUACAGAUGAGGUAGGCGGAAUUGACGGUGUAGCGGUGAAAUGCUUAGAUAUCGUCAAGAACACCUAUAGCGAAGGCAGCUUACUAGGCUGUUACUGACGCUGAGGCACGAAAGUGUGGGGAUCAAACAGG
This 253-nucleotide ribosomal RNA is filed under the name uncultured bacterium. Its description in RNAcentral is "partial 16S ribosomal RNA". It matches the Rfam family "Bacterial small subunit ribosomal RNA", at positions 524 to 776 of the family's 1533-position model. The record is from RNAcentral.